This 915-nucleotide long non-coding RNA is filed under the name Salmo salar (Atlantic salmon). RNAcentral's name for it is "lncRNA (ENSSSAG00000091140.1)". The record is from RNAcentral. Lineage: Eukaryota; Metazoa; Chordata; Actinopteri; Salmoniformes; Salmonidae.
CUCCAACAUCCUGGUACUUCGUUCUAACUCCACCCAGAAUGGACAGGCCUACACCUGCUACGCCAAACACCCCUGGACACACGCACCAGGACCUGCAGCCUUGUCCCUGUCAGUAAGCCCUAUAUUCUGCUGAGUGAUGCGUCCCCGGCGGAGGGAUCUUCGGUGUGGCUGCGCUGUGGCCUGGAGAACGGUACUGAGCCGCUUUUCUUCGUGUGGGAGCAUGAGACUUACAAUGGAUUGGUCAGCACCGUCUCCCAGGGCAACAGACGCGUGUUUAAUAUGACAGAAGUCAACCGUAACCAAACAGGCUGGUAUCGUUGUGGGGCCCGGAACCAGGUCAACCAGGAACGGUCCGACCGCAUCUGGCUGGACAUCAUCUUCGGUCCUGAUAUUCCCCAGAUCGACGUGACCCCCUACAGUGUAACAGACAGAGGAUACUCUGCUCAGGAGAGACAGACGGUCUCUCUGCUCUGCCAGGCCCAGUCCAACCCUUCCAGUCAAUAUGUCUGGUUCUACAACAACAGCCAGGUGUACACGGGACCCCAGUUCACCAUCACUAGGAUUCUGCGGAUGAACACUGGUACCUAUGCCUGUCAGGCUCAGAAUACGUACCUCAACACCCGCUCUCUCAAGACCAUCAACCUCACCGUCUAUUACCCUCCAGAUGGUUCCCCCUCCUGCUCUGUUCUGCCAGCAAUGAACUACUCCUCCCUCAACCUGACCUGUUCAUGGCCAGGGGGCCUGCCUCCCCCUUCACUACGCUGGACCACAAACCUUCUGGCACAGGGAGGGGCGUGGCUUGGGGGCGAAGGGGCGUGGCCAGCCAACAAUGUCUCCGUACUGCAGUCUGGAUCCCAGACCAACAACAACUCUCUGUUCACCUGCCUGGGGAUGCACCCUGCUCUCAACACCUCC